RNAcentral lists this ribosomal RNA (484 nucleotides) under uncultured bacterium. RNAcentral describes it as "partial 16S ribosomal RNA". It matches the Rfam family "Bacterial small subunit ribosomal RNA", at positions 28 to 507 of the family's 1533-position model. The record is from RNAcentral.
AUUGAACGCUGGCGGCAUGCUUUACACAUGCAAGUCGAACGGCAGCGCGGGCUUCGGCCUGGCGGCGAGUGGCGAACGGGUGAGUAAUGCAUCGGAACGUGCCCAGUAGUGGGGGAUAGCCCGGCGAAAGCCGGAUUAAUACCGCAUACGACCUGAGGGUGAAAGCGGGGGACCGAAAGGCCUCGCGCUCUUGGAGCGGCCGAUGUCGGGUUAGCUAGUUGGUGGGGUAAAGGCUUACCAAGGCGACGAUCCGUAGCUGGUCUGAGAGGACGACCAGCCACACUGGGACUGAGACACGGCCCAGACUCCUACGGGAGGCAGCAGUGGGGAAUUUUGGACAAUGGGGGCAACCCUGAUCCAGCCAUGCCGCGUGCGGGAAGAAGGCCUUCGGGUUGUAAACCGCUUUUGUGCGGGAAGAAAUCCUCUGGGCUAAUACCCCGGGGGGAUGACGGUACCGGAAGAAUAAGCACCGGCUAACUACGUG